UUGAUUGUUCAAUUUUUAUCAUUCCUCUAAGAGCCCUCUAGGAGAGGGAAUUUAUUAUUUAUUUCCUUUAUGAUGAAUAUUACAAACUGUUACAUACUUCAAUAUAUUUAGUUUAUUGAAUUGAUUGUUGCGUGUGUGGUUUGUGGGUUGGAGGUUUCAAACUUCAGGUAAUGAGAUACUACUGCUAAGAACCCAGAAAUAGAGUUCAAAGGAACAAAAAGCAAGAAACCUUAGUAAAUAAGACACAUUUGAUCCUGUAGCUCCCACAACACUUUAACCUUGAAGGAGUAUUCCACGCUGAUAUAUUUGAAUACACAUACUCAGUUUUUUCAGGGAGCCACAGGUUACAAAAGCAAAAAAUAUACAUAUAUGCAAUAUGUUUUGUACUGUACACGGGGUCCUGGCAGAAACCACGAGUCGUUGAAUAAUUCCAGAGGCCCUGAGGACUCAGUUGAGGAAGGAAAGGUUAGUUCCCAGGCAGAGGCAUCAGUAGUGAUGAAAGGCAACCCCCCACACCUGAGAAUAGUCAAAGGUACUCCCAGCUCAAAGUAAUAAUUCCAAACAGACAAUAAUAAUUCCACUUAGCGUAAUCCUUAGGCAGUAAGCAGACGAGCAGGGAACAAACCAGUUCCCAGGCAAACCGUAGAACUCCAGCAGCCAUGGCAGGAACCAAAGGACGUCCAGACCCAAAGGAACCGGAACCACAAGCAGCAGGCAGUAGAAUCAGGUGAUGAAGCAGAGAGGUUUUCCCAGGGAGCGAGAACCACUGACGAAACAGCAGAGGAGAGAGCACACACACAGGACACUUGAAUGUAGACACACAUAGAUUACAUCUGAUGUAAAAUGACAAAUAAAAAGAAACCUAGCACUAUAUGUACCUACAUGUGCUAUGUGAAGCAGAUUAUGUGAACAGAGUUCAGGUGAAAGAAAUGGAUGCAGUAAACUACGUGUGCUGGAAAAGUGUUGCUAAAAGAACACAAUUAACAAAACCCUCUAAUAUAUGUAAGGGAAAAUGAACACUUAUGAGCAAAAAUGUUAUCAAAAGAGAAGGGCAAAAUAAUCUGUAGCCCGUAAGUGAUCAAAAUUUAAAUAAAGGAGAUCAUAAUAGAUAUGUCAUAAAUAAAUCAGCUGUAAGGGAAUAAUGCAGAAAUGUAUAUAUAUGAAUAUAUUUUUAAAAGAAGUAAUAAACUAAAGAAGAAAAAAAACACUAGGAUGUAAAUCAGUGUUGUUAGUAAUGAAACCUAAAUUGUGGUUCUCGGAUUUUAACAAGACACAAGAGAAUUAGACAAGCUUGUCCAUAAAACAGCGCAGGGCUUCAUUUUUACAGUGUUAUACAACCAAGGUUGUCUGGGACAGCAAGAUGCUCAGCUUUCAGCAGCACCUCCUCGUAAAGCCUUCCCUCACAUCAAAAUGAGAGACCAUUUGUACACUUUGCUGACGUCAUGUCAGGAUCUGGGGUGAGUCUGCACAUUCAUCUAAUCGCCUUAAGUCGUUGCAGGUGGGCAGCUCCGGAGAGCGGCCAGCUGCGGUGAUUUUCCUCAUUGACUACCUGUGUUUAUAAGGAGCUGGAGAUCACUUCACCUCGCCGGAAGAUUACUCACUUUGGGAAUUCUCACCACGAACCUACUCUACAAUAACCUGGUUUUCAUCUCCAAGCCUGAUCUCCCUCCUCACCCGAACGGACCCGCUCUCCCUCUGCUCACCUCCCUUGGAUUUUGGAUUCUCACUGACGUUGCUCACCCCAGUCCUGGCUACCCUCCCAAGCUCUGGAUUUCAGUCCCCACAACCCAGCCCCGGAGCUGUGCUCAACAUCACCGCCACGUCUGGCGGUGCACCUUUAGUUCUCCUUCAAAAUAAAACAUUUAUUUUUUUUCCUACCUACAUCUCCUAGUGUGAAUUCUGCAUGUCUUGGGUCAGGAAACUCCCCUCAGUAAUGACACGUCAGUCU
This is a long non-coding RNA of Nothobranchius furzeri (turquoise killifish), 1948 nucleotides long. RefSeq lists it as uncharacterized. NCBI's taxonomy places the organism in Eukaryota, Metazoa, Chordata, Actinopteri, Cyprinodontiformes, Nothobranchiidae. The record is from RefSeq and is a predicted model, not a curated record.